Molecule: long non-coding RNA, 1130 nt
Organism: Zingiber officinale
Lineage: Eukaryota; Viridiplantae; Streptophyta; Magnoliopsida; Zingiberales; Zingiberaceae
Exons: 2
Source: RefSeq, a predicted model, not a curated record
UUAAGAUAUUGAUUUGUAUAAUGCCAAAACUCUUUCCUUGAUACACCUCUCGUCCCAACUUCCCCUAUUAACUUAUUCCAACCUUCACGGACCAAGCGUAUCCUAUUCCAUUUCUCCGAUCCCUUUUUUCAUCGCCAAUUUCUUGAGACGAAUUCUCCAUCCCAAGUACCUAAAACCUGUUCUUGAGUUCCUCUCCCUGUGUGCUUGUUGGGCUCCAAGGAUCUUCAAUCAGAAGAGCAAUAUAAAUUGUAGCUUUUGAUUCAUCAGGAAAAGAGGCUUCUCCUUUAGUUAACGAUUGUGUUCAUCAUCAUAAUGCCCUUCAGUGAUACAACAAUCUUGUAGACUUUAUGACGUUCCUUAUCUGCUUCCUCCAAUCCUACUCAGUUGCAUUCCUCUACUGGUUCUACUCCAUCCAAUGAGAUCCACCUCAACAACUUAAUUCUUGUACCGGUUCCUUCAAAGGAGAACCGAAUUAUCCAAUUUAUAUUCAGCUUGCAUAUAUAUGAUUUCACAAAUCCUCCAAAAUACCAUGUUUACUGAAGGAGAUCCGCAGCUUGUCGGAGAAGAAAAGAAACGGAAGCGAAUGCUGUCGAACCGCGAAUCCGCAAAGAGGUCAAGGAUGAAGAAGCAGCAACAACUGGAUGAUCUGGCAAACCAAGUAUCAGAGCUGAAGAGCCAAAACGAGCAGCUCCUCUUACAGGUCCAUCUGCUGACGCAGCAAAACAUGUUUAUGGAGUCCGACAACGUCAUCUUGAGGACUGAGUUAAACUCGUUGAAAGAGAGGUUGCUGUUUCUGAAUUCGACAAUCCGAAGCAUGGAGCAGAUCAGCGGGAUAUCGAUCGAUGUGCUAACGGCUCCAGACCCACUCCUCAUGCCAUGGCAGCUCCCCUGUCCCUUUCAGUUGAUCAUGGCAAACCAUGGCAUCUUCCAGCUUUAAAUGAACUGGCUACAAGGUGGCAAUUGGUUACCAUGCGUUAGGUUUGAUUGCUUGAACAUGGUGUGGUGUGCUACGUUUCCGUUCAGUUUAGCUGCAGUCCUAUAUGUAAAUGGAUGUGUUGUUAUGACUCUUGCCUUAAAUCAUGUAUUGUAUCGCUUGUUAUAUUAAUGUUUGGGUUUGCAGCAAUCUAUCA